UAAAAUUCAAUGGUACAUAGGGAAACUUUCCAAAUAGUAGUUGUUUUAGCUCUUAAUUUUUAUGUCUAUAUUCAAAUGGAAUCUAGACAUAUACCAAACAUAUACAUUAAGUGUUGCAUGAACCCACUAAUUUGCUAAAACGAAUUUUAUUUUGAGACAGAGGGAGUAUUACUAAAUGUACAUAUAGUUCCAUGUUUGCAUUUGGUUUAGUGGCAUCUUUUUUUCUGCCAGGUUAUUUGACAUAAUAAUCUUUUUAUAUGCUGGGUUCGAUGUGUACAUGAACCACAAAUUAGUAGUUUAGUACAGUGAACCCCCUCUUAUCAUUCCAUUGCAUAUAUAACAUGUGUAUGUAUCGGUGAAUGGUAGUCACCCUUUGUCUGUGCUUGAGUACAGGUGCAGAAACUGGAUGAGAUGGGCUAAACCUUUCCCUGAAUCUAGCUAACCUGCUGCGGUUGCCUUGUAACCUUGCUUUGCUGAUUUUUAUUUUUACUUUGACAUUUCUUUUGCAAUUUCUGCUCAUUCAAGGAUGUUGUGUCUCUUUUGCAGGUUGUCAAGUAUUCUUGGUGGCUAUGUAUUGCAACAAUAAUUUAAAUUGAUCAUUCUGGUGAGUUUUGGUGUGCUCUUGGCCUUUUGUCAGGGUGGUACUGUGUGUCUGUGCAUUUAGGUGAGAUUUGCUAAGUUGCAAGUAUGUCAACUUGAGUAGGAAAAUUUCAAUUAAAAGUAUCUGAGAACUGGUAGGAAAUUCGUGGCUGAAAGACAUGUACGACUACCUAGCCUCUUCAACAUAAUCUUAGUUACAGUUCGGUAACCUGUGAACCUACUGGUAAAGAUAAACAUGUGCUUGUUUAAGAACCAUUGUAUUUUCUUCUAUUGAUUUUCAUGAUCAAUUGCUGGGUUAUAGAUUAAAUUCCAUGAUCAAUUCCAUGCUAAGUUGCAAUUUCUAUUGAUUUUCAUGAUCAAUUGUCUUCUAUUGAUCAGCAGUGCUGGGCGGGGUUGACAGAGAGUUAGAUGACGCUGACGUUGUCGUGGUAGACAAGUGUGCUACUGGUGAGGGGACUGUGAAGCUCCUGGAGGAGCUGAGUUGGUGCAUCCAGCUUGCCUUAGCCACCCCAUUGUCGACAACUAGGUACUCACCCUCAGCACACUGGAGCGUGAGACCACAUGCUGACACUCACUUGGAGGACUAAGAGAUGAGGUUGGCCACAAGAAACACUGCAUAGCCAGAGGUAGACCGAUGGGUGUCCGAGUGCUCAUGUCUAGAGGAGUGCUCGCAUACGGUCGUUUUGGUAGAGCGGGAGUAUUUCAACUAUGGUAAAUUUUAAUAUUUCAAUAUGGAGACUCCAAGAGCCGUUCCGUUCCUCUUUUGUUUGAAGCCAAACAUCCAAAAAAUAAGAAUGAAAUAGUUACAUUCUCUUCCAUUCAACCAAACACACCCUUAAUCUGACUUACCACUCGAAUGAGGUAGCAAUUCAUUAUUACCAUCUAAGCCAAUGGCUAUGGUAACAUGCGAACAAAUAGUGACGAGUACCAACAAUAAUAAGCAACUUCAUAUUUGG
This 1556-nucleotide long non-coding RNA is filed under the name Zea mays. Its description in RNAcentral is "long non-coding RNA (ZMAY_LNC000795)". The record is from RNAcentral. Lineage: Eukaryota; Viridiplantae; Streptophyta; Magnoliopsida; Poales; Poaceae.